Non-coding RNA from Arachis ipaensis, 988 nucleotides. The record is from RefSeq and is a predicted model, not a curated record. Lineage: Eukaryota; Viridiplantae; Streptophyta; Magnoliopsida; Fabales; Fabaceae.
AUAUAUAUGUUUGUUUCUUCAAUGAGAAGAGAUGGUCAGAGACAGAAAUGCAGUAUUUGGCAUGGAAUAGAUGGCGUUGGCAGAAUAAAGACUUCCUCCGGCGACGAAGAAGGGUUAAGGGUGAGAGAGAAAGACGAGAGAAAGACAAAACGAAGCAGAGGAGAGGAGAAAACACGACGGAGGGAGAAGGAGAAGAGGGUGCCGACGAACCCGCGUCCACUGUAGAACCGCGUUGCAACUGCUCCUUUGCAGCCAGGCAGCAGGUGCUGCGAAUGUCAUCAUUACGACGUUGUUGUACAGAUUUGGACCUUGAGGUUGACGAGAGUGGUUUUGGUUCAACUAGAAAUGAGUCUGCUGUGAUGGAACUGAUGGCAAAGUAACAUGCUCAAAUACCUGCUGGAAGACUGGGAAAGCUGUUUGGGAUACGAUGAUAAAGAAGACUGCUACAUAUCAAGACAGUGUCAAGCUUUACAAGGAAGAAUUUGAAAAAACAAAAUUAGCUCUGAUUAUAAGUGUAUUAUAAUGAUACUAAUGAAAGUGAGUAUUUUGGUUUGGUUGUGAAGAAGAAGAAAUCACGCGGGCGAAAAAAGGAAGUAUGAUGGAAGAAGGAGAAGAGGGUGGCGACAAUGGAAACUGAUGGAAACUCAGCUUAUUCUGUCCAGUCAGAUGCAAUUGAAUAUGAAUCAUAUAAAAAGCUCCACAUAGGACUGUACCCAGACAGAGAUAAUUUUAGAGCAAUGAAGAUCAUCAAGUAAUGCAAAAAAAAAUUCUAUCGCGCAUACCCUUCCAGUUUCACUUAAUAACAUUGGAGGUGUAUUAAUGGGAGCCUGUUCUGUAUUAAUGGGAAACUUUUGGGAUACGCAUACUACUGAAACUCUGUUUGAGUCUGGGUAGCAGAUAUAUCGGUAGGAUUAUCUUUUGACAAUCUGUUAUUUUCAGCGGCAAUUUAAUUUUUUGAGUUUAAGCCAUCAUUGACUUACUUCUUGGU